CCACAUCAAACUAAAAAGCACAGGGAAGGAAAGGGAAGGAAACCAUCAACAAAAUGGAAAAGCAACCUACAGAAUCGGAGAAUACAUUUGCAGACCAUCUCCAAGAAAGAGUUAAUAUACAAAACAAAUAAGGAGUUCACAUGAAUAGUUAACCUUCAAAAUAAAACUACCAGUUAUGUUACCAGGAAAAGAAAAUGGCUUAUUUAGGAAUAGCAGAGAACUGCCCCUUGGGAGAAGGAAGCUAUAGCAAGUCUGGAGAACAAAGGAGAGGAACACUUUUGUAGAGGAAAGGAAGAAAUUGGGAGAGCUAUGAUCUAGUAAAAGUCCACUGGAGUAAACUGGGAGAUCCAAGUAUAGUGGCUUUUCAUUGCUUAAGUUGUGACCGUCAUCAGCUGGGCCAUCAUGAGGGAAGAAGAAAGACCUUUCUUCCUCUUGCUGAGGUAGUAUAGCAGUAGCUGAAGUAGUGUCAGCUUACAAGAUAUGUCUCCUUCCAGUGGGUCUGCACGAAAUGACACGUGGUAGAGCCUGUGAGCUUCCCCCUUCUGGCCCCCGACUCCAUUUUCUUUAAGGUUUUAUUUUCUUUCCAGUUCAUUAGCAUACAGUGUUGCAUUCGUUUCAGGUAUACAAUAGAGCAAUUCAACACUUCCAUUUUAAAUAAAGUUUCCUCUUACAAUUUUCCCAAAGUCAACAGCAAAGAAACCAUAUAACAGGGUGAAAAAGUGGGCAAGGACCCAAAUAGACUUUUUCCAAAGAAGACAUACAAAAGGCUAACCGGUAUAAGAAAAGAUGCUCAACAUCGCUAAUUGUCAGGGAAAUGCAAACCAAAACCACAAUGAGCUAUUACCUCACACCUGUUUGUUAGGAUGGCUAUUCUCCAAAAGUCAAAAGAUAACAACUGUGGGCAAGGAUGUGGAGGAAAAGUGAACCCUUAAGCACUAUUUCCAGGAGUGUAAAUUGGUACAGCCAUUGUGGAAAACAGUUUGGAGGUUCUCAAAAAGUUAAAAAUAGAGAUACCAUAUGAUCCAGCAAUCCCACUUCUGGGUGUAGAUCACUAUCUCAAUGAGACAUCUGUACUCCCAUGUUCAUUGCAAUAUUAUUCAGUAGCCAAGAUAUGGAAACAACUUUAAGUGCCCAUCAAAAUAAAGAAAAAUGGCCUGUGCAUUCAGUGGAAUAGUAUCUGGCCAGAAGAAAGAAGGAAGUUCUACCAUUUCUGACAACGUGGGUGAACCCAGACGACAUGAUUCUAAGUGAAAUUAGUCAGACGCAAACAGACAGACAUUGUAUAAUCUCAUGCACAUGUGAACUCUUCGUCUAAAGAAAAGUUGAACUUGUAGAGACAGAGAGUUGAAGGGUAGUUACCAGAGGCUGGAGGAUGGGCAAAAGGGGGACAUACUGAUCAAAACGUACAAACUUUCCAUUGUAAGAUGCACAAGUUCUAGCGACCUAACGUACAGUACGGUGACUACAGUUAACAAUACCGUAUCGUAUACUUGAAAUUGACGAAGAGAGCAGAUCUCAAGCAUUCUAACCACACCGCAAAAACAAAGUAGCUACGGGUGGUGAUGGAUAUGUUAACUAGUUUCAUUGUGGUUCUCACUUCACAGUGUAUGCAUAUAUCAACAUAUCACAUUGUAAGUCUCAAAUACAUAAAAUUUUUAUUCAUCAAAAAUAAUAAAUAAGUAAGUAAAUAAAGACCAAAAUAAAGAGAUAAAUGAACAAAAUUCCAAUGUGUGAAAAUGACUUUGGAUAAUGCCUGAAACAUAGUAACAGCCACCAGAGAUACAAGAGGACCUGGGAAACAGAUACAUACGUGGUCCUUCAGUAUACCUGGAGCAAAAAGGUGAGGAGAGAAUACAGGCUUCUUUUAAGAGACGAAGCUGGAGAAGUAACCAAAGCCUGUUUCUGCAGGACCUUGCAAACCAGUAAAGGACUUUGUGCUUUUUCCGGAAAGUACUGAGAAGCCAUUGAAGAAUUUCAAUCAUUCACUGACUGAUUGCUGAGCUUUCAUUGUUAAAAGAUCAUUCUGAUUGGAGAUGGAGAAUGGGUUGACGUGAAAUGGAAGUGGGUGGCAGGAAAAGUAAACAGGCCAAUUUUAAGGCUGCGCAUGAGAUGAUGGUGGCCUGGCCUAUGUUAGUUGCGCAAGACUGGAAGUCGUGGGAAGAUGAGGCAAUUGUUUCAAGACAUACAAGUGAGAGGUCUUGAUGAUUAGCUAUUGGGGCGGGGAGAGAGGGAGAGGUCUAAUGGGUCAGUUGCUACAGUGGGAUCGAGAAGGGCAAGAGACAACUUGCAUUGAGCUACGACAGGAUGACCUUGGUGGGAAUGAUACAACUGGGAGGUGAAGGCCAGAACCCAGAUGACCAUAUGUUGAGGAGAGGCUGGGAAGUGAAGAGUGCAGUCAAGAUUAUUGACUUGGCAACAGUACUGCUUGUUGCCACCUGACAUCCAUUCCCACCUUCUCUCCUAUUGAGAGAAUUCCUGAUAUUUAGUUGGGUACAUGGCUUUGUAGACUAAGCCUUUACAUUACCAGGAAGUGUUAAGUUAUGGUCAACAGAAUGCAAAUGGAAGUGAGGUGUGCUAGGGGCAAUGGCGUUGAAAGAAAGGAUACGCUCUCCCCUCCCCAUUUUCCUUGCCUGCUGGCUGCAAGCAGAUCUGCUGUGCUGAGUCAUCUUUGACCUUGUCAGUCAGGAACCACAGAGCAACCAUACAGAAUCCUGGGUAUCUGACACUAUAGGGUAACCAUUGUGGGUUUGAACAUAUACCUAGACUGUUACAUGAAAGAGAAAUACAUAUUUUGUUGAAGCCACGGUUAUUUAUAGCCCCUGUUAGAGCAACCCGCUCUAUAUCCAAACUAUUGCAGAAUUUGAUACAAGAAGGGAGUGGCUGCUAGUUUAGAACCCAACAUAAGUGGCAUAGGUUUGGUGGGCAGGCAGUAGGUGGGAAGGCACAGGUAUUACAGUCUGGUGGCAAGUCUGGUGACAGUUUUUAUGUUGUGACAAAACACUAAGCUGUUGUCUAUGAUCAUUCUCGUGGCGGAUCACAUGCCAUCAGAACCUGAAACUCAAGAAGAAAUUAAUCGUAACAUUUGGAAUGUGGUGUCUGUGGGAUGCAUUUUGCCACUUUCACCAGGAACCUGCCACAAACAGAUCUCAGGCUAGGGUCAGCCAGUCUGCCAGCACUGAUUCAGGGGUAUACAGCUCUUCUAAGGAAGCUCUUUCUGCCUGUAGGUGACAAUCCAAUUUGGCGGCAACGAGAGUGACUAGUGCCGCCAAAGCCUGAGAGACGCAAAAACUUCUGCACCCCAAACUGAAGGAAUUACAAGUAGCUUUCAAUAGGUAGCCUAAGCAGGACAGGACACCCAAGCCUUUCUCAGUCACCUCCCCAAUAUGGCUGACUCAAGGUAAAUUGGCUAAGUGCAAAAUAGCUGUCAUUGAUUUAGUAGGGAGACUUGGUAAAUCCCAGAACAAGCUACACAGAAGACCAGAGUUUUCAGGCCCCAAAACUAUGCCUGAACAAAAUAUUUCAGUAUGAUUAUUUACAUAUGGAACUUGACAGACAUAAAAGUAGACCAGAAGCCUAAAUGUUUGAGGGAAUUUUCUUGCAAAAGAAACCAUAGCCUAGGAAAAUGGGGAGGAGAGAGCAUAUCCUUUCUUGUAACGCCAUUGUCAAUAAGGCAUAGACUAGUUUGACCUCUAAUACAAUCCUUAUGAUCCCCUUUCUGCGCAGCAGGAAGUGGGCUGCAAAAGCCAUCCUGUCCUCAAGAAGGGUAUAUUCUUCCAAACAUCCACCUCAGAUUUGUCCACAGAGGAUGAUGAACAUGAAAGAAUGUUCCAGAGGGAAAGACAAAAGCUAAAGAUGACAGCAGAGGAAGGAAUGCUUCCCAGACAGCAGAAUCAGGACCUACUGAAUGAACUGAGGCCCCAAAGAGUGCCAGGACACGGUUCUGUCAUAAUUCAUGCCCAGGGGAGUUGGAUCAUUGCUAGGGACCUAUGUUACCUCAUUAUUCACUCUUCUCUUUCCAGUAUUGGAGUUUUUAUAGCAAUAUCCUACUCCAGGGAUAGAUAUUGGUUGGUUUGGAGACUAGACAUAACUCAUGCUUUAGUUUAUAGUUUGUCAGAGAGGAAUUCUAUCCCUACUGAAUGGAGAGAACCAAGGAGUAACAAGAGAUACUAAAUUUUGACCCAGAUGUAGUCAUUCUAUGAGACCUGGGGGUUAUAUUUCUUGACUAUGACAAUGUUCUAUGCGUGGGGAUGAUGCUCUGUGUGUAUUUGCGGACAGUUGUUUAAUCAAAGGGGUGGACCCUGACAGAAACUGUUAGUGGUCACUCAAUAGUCAUGCCCUCAGUUCUCUCAUAGAAAUGGAAUGCCCUAUUUCUGGCCGAACACAUAACCACUCAAAAGGAAAGACCACGUUUCCCAGCCUCUCACGAAGCUAUGUACAGUCAGGCGACUAAGUUCAGACCGAUUAAAUGUGAGCAGAAGUGAUAUGGAAAACUUUCUGGCUAUUCUCUGAAGCUAGAGGCAUGUCCUCCCCUUUCCCACGUUCACUUCCCACUUCCUGGAUGUGGACACGAUGCUGAGUCCUCUCAGUUCUACCCUAGAGGUGGUGGAGCACCUUCACAGAAGGAACCUGAGUCCCUGAGAGGGUGGAGCUGCUAAGCCAGCUAUGGACUGCAUAUGCCCAGACUAUUCAGGAAGGAAGGAAUAAGUUACUGGGUGUGUUUGUUGAAGCAACCGAACCUAUAUCUAACCAGACAUUACUCUAAAGAAUUUGUUCGUAUUGUAGACAGUAGGAAGCUAAUAACAGCAUUUGAACUCUCAUGAUUUGUUACAAGUAUUUUUGUUCUCAUGUUGAGUACAUGGAUGAUAUGCCAGUAUCAUCAAAUGAAAAUCACGAAUCCUGAGUUUCUAGAACUUGAAUAAAUCUAUCAAUAACCCAAAGCAGUCAUUGUUUACUCUUUUCUAUGUUUGCAAACGUGGAUGGGAAUUGGGAAGAAGAGCGCCAGCCACCUGAAACAGAUAAAUUUACACGUCACACAGUUAGAAAAAUGAAGUUAAAAUUCCAACAAAGGAUACAUGUUCGACAUUUUGUUAAAUACUGGGACUGCUUUGAAAUGUAUAUUAUCAAUACCUCCUUUUAAAUAACCUUCUUAGAGUUUGCUAACUCGAGACGCUAAGGUCUACCUUUCCCUCUUCUGCUGAGUAUCACAAGGUCUCCUCUCCAGAUCUAAAUGCUACAAACUUUGUUAUGAGACAGUCUUAUGGGACAAUAUCUAGAGGACUUUCAAUGUGACAGUUUUUAAAAGAAACCCUGACAUUUUUGGGGGUUCAGUGUUCAGGGCUCAGGGCUCUUGUGACUGAGGAGCAAUCGCUUUCAUCAGUGCAAGACUUUGUGAUAAAAUCUUACUCGACUUCUGUGUCUGUUAUCUUAAAGCCUACCACACCUGGCACUAUAGUCUGUGGCCUAUUUCUCUUGACAUACUAUUAAAAGUCAAGAUAUAUUCAUUGUUUCAUUUUGCCUCACGGCCCCCAAGCCCCACCUUCCACAGGCAAAGGAGAUUGUCUUUUAGGCCUAGGAGCCAAUGAAAGUGACCCAGUACUUGGUUUGUUCCAAGUCUGGGAAAGUUCCUCCUGCCCCAGAGCUGGCACUGAAAUUGCAAACGGUAAGCAGUUCUCAGAGGACACAGGGACAACAGCUCCCCCAUCCUCCCAAUAUCUCAAGUCCCUUAAUAGAGUCUGUUGUUGAAGUUGGUGGAUAUUUGUGUUCAAUUUCUUUCUCUCCAGCAGUCUGACUCUCGUUUGCAUUCAUAAAGAAAUCGUUGACCUUAUGGAUUCGUUCGCAGCACUAUGCCCUCAAAGAUGAUCUCUCUGAGUGACGUACCGACACACUGCCUUUUCUCCAACUUGCCUAGGUGGUUCCCCGAGACAAGUGUGGAGCCGGUUUCCAAUCUUCUCUGUGACCUGGGGUGCCUGAUGAGGACCAAGGAGAAAAACUGCUACUCGGACCUUCAAAUUUUCUGACUCCAAGACCCAAGGCAAAACAAUUCUCCACGCUUUAAUUUGAUAAAGGAUGUGCUAAACCAAAGGUCCCAGCUUGAAAAGGGAAAACCAAAAAAGUUUUUCAACUGUGAAAUGUUGGCAAAGACCCCCUGGUAAGGUGUCUGUUUCAUAACCAAAGAUCAUGAGAUUCAAACCCCAUCCAUGCCUGGCCCUAGAAAGUACAAAUUCACAGGAGAGGUGUUCUGGCAAGUGACUAAAAACACAGGCUUGGCAGCCAAACAGGUUUGUGUUUAAAUCCUGGCCUUGUCACUAAAACCAAAUGUCCUCGAGGAAACUGCUUAGCUAAAACCUUAGUUUUGUUAUCAGUCAAAUGGAGAUGUUAAUGGUACCUGUUGCUUAGUGUUGUUGCAGAGAUUAGAUGAGAUAAUCAAUGACCCCAAAGGAGAAGAAGACAAAUGGAGCUCUGGAAGAAUGAUUAAUCUCUCCCAGAAAGUGGCUAGCAUCCUCUCUGAUACAUGGGCCCUCAGCCAUGGGGACCAACUGAAGAUAUUCCUGCGCCCAGCACCAGAAACCUACUGGAGCUGCCUGGCCUGGGUGCGAUUGGGUAAGACAUGGGAGAGGGGCCCCUGGGACAGAGGCUCCUAUGGGAUUCCAGUCUCAGUCAUUCACAGAAUGGAGAGAUGGUAAAAGGAUGUCCAUCUGAUGCCUGAAUUCUUCCCAUUGUGUGGGCGUCUAUAAACAGGCCUAAGGUUUCAUCUCAGUUCCACGAACUGCCACUUUUGUAAUAUCAUCCCUCUCUGAGCCUCAGUUUCCUUAUUUGUGAAAUGGGCACAGUAAUAGAGUCAGACUUAUGUGUUAUUGUGAAAAUGAAACACAAAUUAUCCAUAGAGAGUGCUUAACUACCUUGUAGGCCAUUUAUCACCUCAAGGAAAUCUUAGCCUCUGAGAGGCUCCAAAAUAUAAAUAUGUUUUGGAAUUCGGAGGUUCCUAGGAAACUCAAAGCACACGUUCCCUGGAGAUUUCCCAUGAAGUGUUUGCCAUUAUACGUUCCCACAAAUGGCUCAGCCUAUUGCUUUUGCCUAAUAGUAGGCUUGUAGUAAAAAAACAAAAAAUCCUGAAGAGCAUUCAAAGAGCAGGUAUCCUUGAGAAUGCCAGGUGUGGGAGGCACAAAGAAGACAAGACAGGAGUGAGCCACACCACGGCUCAACAGAAGCCCUUGAGUACUUCAGGAAGUAAGUCCUAUUUUUUGAAGGCCCUAUGCUUGGAGGCUCAUCUUUGCCAUGUAGUUCCCAAGAGUUGGGGUGCCUGAGGUAGCUCACAAACCCCUCAGUCCUCUGGGGCAACUUCUGUAUUAUGAGAUCCUCCUGACUGUGGGUCACCACACCUGGAGUGGGGUUUCUUGUGAGACUGUGUCUCUGCCUCUCCUGUUUCCAUAUAUUUUAUCCUUUUAUCCGUUAUUUUACAGACACUGUUAAGCUAUCCUUCAGAUCCUUUUCAGAGGGAAUUGUUCCAUAAGCAGCUGUUGACUUCUUGUGUUCAUGGGAGGAGACAGAAGGGAGAAGACUUUCAUUUAAGCCCAAGUUAAGAUAGCCACCCAGGAUACAAAAUCUUCACAAAGAAGAGACUUCUCUGAGGAAGGAACAGUCAGUGCAGGAUUACAUAUGUGUUUUCCACACGAUGCAUCAUAAAUCAUCAUAGCCAAUGACAUUCCAGAAAGUUACAGACUUUAUCUCAUGUUUUAGUAUCUGCAAGGCUGUAUGACUUUAAUCUUAUGGAAACCAGGGACAUGUUUUUCUUGUUCUUUAUGUUUGAAAUGCUCCUUUUUGGUUAUUUUUAUUUUUAUUUUUUGAAGCUUUCAAUUUUUUUAUUUUU
Acinonyx jubatus (cheetah) is the source of this 7867-nucleotide long non-coding RNA. RefSeq lists it as uncharacterized. The record is from RefSeq and is a predicted model, not a curated record. The transcript is spliced from 2 exons. NCBI's taxonomy places the organism in Eukaryota, Metazoa, Chordata, Mammalia, Carnivora, Felidae.